GACAGUCAGUAGUUGGUCUGGCGUGAGCAGGAAUUCUCAGAUCACCUUUUGGCUGUGGG
RNAcentral lists this microRNA precursor (59 nucleotides) under Gekko japonicus. RNAcentral describes it as "Gja-Mir-2970_pre stem-loop". Lineage: Eukaryota; Metazoa; Chordata; Lepidosauria; Squamata; Gekkonidae. The record is from RNAcentral.